AGAGUUUGAUUCUGGCUCAGAUUGAACGCUGGCGGCAUGCUUUACACAUGCAAGUCGAACGGUAACAGGGGAGCUUGCUCCCGCUGACGAGUGGCGAACGGGUGAGUAAUGCAUCGGAACGUACCGAGUAAUGGGGGAUAACUAUCCGAAAGGAUGGCUAAUACCGCAUACGAUCUUAGGAUGAAAGUGGGGGACCUUCGGGCCUCACGUUAUUCGAGCGGCCGAUGCCUGAUUAGCUAGUUGGUAGGGUAAAAGCCUACCAAGGCUACGAUCAGUAGCGGGUCUGAGAGGAUGAUCCGCCACACUGGGACUGAGACACGGCCCAGACUCCUACGGGAGGCAGCAGUGGGGAAUUUUGGACAAUGGGGGCAACCCUGAUCCAGCCAUGCCGCGUGUCUGAAGAAGGCCUUCGGGUUGUAAAGGACUUUUGUUAGGGAGGAAAAUUUAUCCAUUAAUACUGGGUAAAGCUGACAGUACCUAAAGAAUAAGCACCGGCUAACUACGUGCCAGCAGCCGCGGUAAUACGUAGGGUGCAAGCGUUAAUCGGAAUUACUGGGCGUAAAGCGAGCGCAGGCGGUUUGUUAAGUCAGAUGUGAAAGCCCCGAGCUCAACUUGGGAAUUGCGUUUGAAACUGGCAAGCUAGAGUGUGUCAGAGGGGGGUAGAAUUCCACGUGUAGCAGUGAAAUGCGUAGAGAUGUGGAGGAAUACCGAUGGCGAAGGCAGCCCCCUGGGAUAACACUGACGCUCAUGCUCGAAAGCGUGGGUAGCAAACAGGAUUAGAUACCCUGGUAGUCCACGCCCUAAACGAUGACAAUUAGCUGUUGGGGAAUUGAAAGUCCUUGGUAGCGUAGCUACGCGUGAAAUUGUCCGCCUGGGGAGUACGGUCGCAAGAUUAAAACUCAAGGAAUUGACGGGGACCCGCACAAGCGGUGGAUGAUGUGGAUUAAUUCGAUGCAACGCGAAAACCUUACCUAGCCUUGACAUGUACGGAAGCUCGAUGAAAGUUGAGUGUGCUCGAAG
This 1020-nucleotide ribosomal RNA is filed under the name uncultured bacterium. RNAcentral describes it as "bacterial SSU rRNA". It matches the Rfam family "Bacterial small subunit ribosomal RNA", at positions 8 to 1023 of the family's 1533-position model. The record is from RNAcentral.